Molecule: ribosomal RNA, 378 nt
Filed under: uncultured bacterium
Lineage: Bacteria
Description: bacterial SSU rRNA
Rfam family: Bacterial small subunit ribosomal RNA
Source: RNAcentral
AUUGAACGCUGGCGGAAUGCUUUACACAUGCAAGUCGAACGGCAGCACGGGAGCUUGCUCCUGGUGGCGAGUGGCGAACGGGUGAGUAAUAUAUCGGAACGUAUCCAAUAAUGGGGAGUAACUAGUCGAAAGAUUAGCUAAUACCGCAUACGCCUGAGGGGGAAAGCUGGGAUCUUCGGACCUAGCGUUAAUGGAGCGGCCGAUAUCUGAUUAGCUAGUUGGUGGGGUAAUGGCCUACCAAGGCGACGAUCAGUAGCUGGUCUGAGAGGACGACCAGCCACACUGGAAACCUGAGACACGGUCCAGACUCCUACGGGAGGCAGCAGUGGGGAAUUUUGGACAUGGGCGCAAGCCUGAUCCAGCCAUUCCGCGUGAGUG